RNAcentral lists this ribosomal RNA (492 nucleotides) under uncultured bacterium. RNAcentral's name for it is "partial 16S ribosomal RNA". It matches the Rfam family "Bacterial small subunit ribosomal RNA", at positions 29 to 507 of the family's 1533-position model. The record is from RNAcentral.
AGUGAGCGCUGGCGGUAGGCCUAACACAUGCAAGUCGAACGGCAGCACAGUAAGAGCUUGCUCUUACGGGUGGCGAGUGGCGGACGGGUGAGGAAUACAUCGGAAUCUACUUUUUCGUGGGGGAUAACGUAGGGAAACUUACGCUAAUACCGCAUACGACCUACGGGUGAAAGCAGGGGAUCUUCGGACCUUGCGCGAUUGAAUGAGCCGAUGUCGGAUUAGCUAGUUGGCGGGGUAAAGGCCCACCAAGGCGACGAUCCGUAGCUGGUCUGAGAGGAUGAUCAGCCACACUGGAACUGAGACACGGUCCAGACUCCUACGGGAGGCAGCAGUGGGGAAUAUUGGACAAUGGGCGCAAGCCUGAUCCAGCCAUACCGCGUGGGUGAAGAAGGCCUUCGGGUUGUAAAGCCCUUUUGUCGGGAAAGAAAAGCAGCAGGUUAAUACCCCGCUGUUCUGACGGUACCCAAAGAAUAAGCACCGGCUAACUUCGUG